This 918-nucleotide ribosomal RNA is filed under the name uncultured archaeon. RNAcentral's name for it is "bacterial SSU rRNA". It matches the Rfam family "Archaeal small subunit ribosomal RNA", at positions 1 to 921 of the family's 1478-position model. The record is from RNAcentral.
UUCCGGUUGAUCCUGCCGGAGGCCAUUGCUAUUGGGAUUCGAUUUAGCCAUGCUAGUCGCACGAGUUCAGACUCGUGGCGAAUAGCUCAGUAACACGUGGCCAAACUACCCUUCGGAGCACGAUACCCUCGGGAAACUGAGGCUAAUAGUGCAUACCACAAUCCACCUGGAAUGAGGAUUGUGCCAAAUGCUCCGGCGCCGAAGGAUGUGGCUGCGGCCGAUUAGGUAGACGGUGGGGUAACGGCCCACCGUGCCAAUAAUCGGUACGGGUCAUGAGAGUGAGAACCCGGAGACGGAAUCUGAGACAAGAUUCCGGGCCCUACGGGGCGCAGCAGGCGCGAAACCUUUACACUGCACGCCAGUGCGAUAAGGGAAUCCCAAGUGCGCAGGCAUAGAGCCUGCGCUUUUGUACACCGUAGGGAGGUGUACGAAUAAGGGCUGGGCAAGACCGGUGCCAGCCGCCGCGGUAAUACCGGCAGCCCGAGUGAUGGCCGAUCUUAUUGGGCCUAAAGCGUCCGUAGCUGGCCGCACAAGUCCAUCGGAAAAUCCACCCGCCCAACGGGUGGGCGUCCGGUGGAAACUGUGUGGCUUGGGACCGGAAGGCGCGACGGGUACGUCCGGGGUAGGAGUGAAAUCCCGUAAUCCUGGACGGACCGCCGAUGGCGAAAGCACGUCGCGAGGACGGAUCCGACAGUGAGGGACGAAAGCCAGGGUCUCGAACCGGAUUAGAUACCCGGGUAGUCCUGGCCGUAAACAAUGUCUGUUAGGUGUGGCUCCCACUACGAGUGGGUGCUGUGCCGUAGGGAAGCCGCUAAACAGACCGCCUGGGAAGUACGUCCGCAAGGAUGAAACUUAAAGGAAUUGGCGGGGGAGCACUACAACCGGAGGAGCCUGCGGUUUAAUUGGAUUCAACGCCGG